This 497-nucleotide ribosomal RNA is filed under the name uncultured bacterium. Its description in RNAcentral is "partial 16S ribosomal RNA". It matches the Rfam family "Bacterial small subunit ribosomal RNA", at positions 28 to 507 of the family's 1533-position model. The record is from RNAcentral.
GAUGAACGCUGGCGGCGUGCCUAAUACAUGCAAGUCGAGCGAACGGACGAGAAGCUUGCUUCUCUGAUGUUAGCGGCGGACGGGUGAGUAACACGUGGAUAACCUACCUAUAAGACUGGGAUAACUUCGGGAAACCGGAGCUAAUACCGGAUAAUAGUUUUAACCGCAUGGUUCAAAAGUGAAAGACGGUCUUGCUGUCACUUAUAGAUGGAUCCGCGCUGCAUUAGCUAGUUGGUAAGGUAACGGCUUACCAAGGCAACGAUGCAUAGCCGACCUGAGAGGGUGAUCCGCCACACUGGAACUGAGACACGGUCCCGACUCCUACGGGAGGCAGCAGUAGGGAAUCUUCCGCAAUGGGCGAAAGCCUGACGGAGCAACGCCGCGUGAGUGAUGAAGGUCUUCGGAUCGUAAAACUCUGCUAUUAGGGAAGAACAUAUGUGUAAGUAACUGUGCACAUCUUGACGGUACCUAAUCAGAAAGCCACGGCUAACUACGUG